CAUGGUUGUCGUCAGCUCGUGUCGUGAGAUGUUGGUUAAGUCCCGCAACGAGCGCAACCCCUACGUUUAGUUGCUAACGCGUGAAGGCGAGCACUCUAGACGAACUGCCGUUGACAAAACGGAGGAAGGUGGGGAUGACGUCAAAUCAUCAUGCCCCUUAUGUUCUGGGCUACACACGUGCUACAAUGGCCGGUACAGACGGACGCAAAGCCGCGAGGUGGAGCAAAUCCUAAAAAGCCGGUCUCAGUUCGGAUUGCAGGCUGCAAUUCGCCUGCAUGAAGUCGGAAUCGCUAGUAAUCGCAGGUCAGCAUACUGCGGUGAAUACGUUCCCGGGCCUU
Molecule: ribosomal RNA, 338 nt
Filed under: uncultured Pelotomaculum sp.
Lineage: Bacteria; Bacillati; Bacillota; Clostridia; Eubacteriales; Desulfotomaculaceae
Description: bacterial SSU rRNA
Rfam family: Bacterial small subunit ribosomal RNA
Source: RNAcentral